RNAcentral lists this ribosomal RNA (694 nucleotides) under uncultured bacterium. Its description in RNAcentral is "bacterial SSU rRNA". It matches the Rfam family "Bacterial small subunit ribosomal RNA", at positions 94 to 794 of the family's 1533-position model. The record is from RNAcentral.
ACUGGCGAACGGGUGAGUAACGCGUAGGCACCUGCCCUAUAGAUUGGGAUAACAUUGGGAAACUGAUGCUAAUACCGGGUGAUUCCUUCGGGAUAAAGCGGGCUUCGGCUCGCGCUUUAGGAUGGGCCUGCGUCCGAUUAGCUUGUUGGUAAGGUAAUGGCUUACCAAGGCUGUGAUCGGUAGUUGGUCUGAGAGGAUGAUCAGCCACACUGGGAUUGAGAUACGGCCCAGACUCCUACGGGAGGCAGCAGUAGGGAAUUUUGCGCAAUGGGGGAAACCCUGACGCAGCAACGCCGCGUGACCGAUGAAGCAUUUAGGUGCGUAAAGGUCUGUCGUAAGGGAAGAAAAGUUCGGAUGUAAAUAAUAUUCGAAUCUGACGGUACCUUACAAGAAAGCACCGGCUAACUUCGUGCCAGCAGCCGCGGUAAUACGAGGGGUGCAAGCGUUGUCCGGAAUCAUUGGGCGUAAAGGGUCCGUAGGCGUUUCAAUAAGUCAUUUGUGAAAGACACCGGCUCAACCGGUGGCCCGCAUUCGAAACUGUUGAAAUAGAGUAUAGGAGAGGAAAGUGGAAUUCCUGGUGUAGCGGUGACAUGCGUAGAUAUCAUGAGGACACCAAGGGCGACGCGGCUUUCUGGCCUAUUACUGACGCUGACGACGAAGCGUGGGGAAGCGACAGAUUAGAAAUCCUGGGACA